CAAAUUGCUAGACAAUGACACCUCUACUGUCUGCAUUUCUGUGGGCAGACACAUUUGGAUACCCAUACAGGUAUUCCACAUCAUAACAUCGUAUAGUGCACUGGGAGUUAAAGUGUUAAUGCUCCAGUUCCGGGCAUCUGUCCGGAAGAGAAGAACUACAUCCCCUAGGGGGCUUUGUGGUUGGAGAGGAGAUAUAACCUCUGGCAAAGUCACCUGAUGUCCAUCUUCUUCCCUUGGCUCUCAUCCCGACCACAUGCAUCACCUCAGCACUACUGUAAGGCCUACAGCUC
This 290-nucleotide long non-coding RNA is filed under the name Gallus gallus (chicken). Lineage: Eukaryota; Metazoa; Chordata; Aves; Galliformes; Phasianidae. The record is from RNAcentral.